RNAcentral lists this long non-coding RNA (3108 nucleotides) under Sphaeramia orbicularis (orbiculate cardinalfish). RNAcentral describes it as "lncRNA (ENSSORG00005011846.1)". The record is from RNAcentral. Lineage: Eukaryota; Metazoa; Chordata; Actinopteri; Kurtiformes; Apogonidae.
GACGGCUGUCACCAACAUGGGACGUGUUUCCUCCUGCAGCCGAGCUUCCUCAUCUGUCUCAGGUAAGACCACUGCUUUCAUAUCUCACUCUUAAUUAACAAAGACACGCUCCACACUCUGGUCUGUGGUGGAGACUGGUCUGGACCCACUGGGGUUGGACACACAUGAGACCAGGAGAGUCCCAUGUGAGCUUGGAUUCCUCGGUUGCCCUCAGCGGAUCUGUUUCACAGCUGAAACACUAAUUUUUAGGGGACAUUUUAAUAUGAAACUUAUGGACUGGUGAAGGACAUUCCCAUGAAGACAACCUGUGUGUUCAGCUUCAUGUACUGGAAUAUCACUGGAGUUACACAUCCUGUUUGACUGGAUGAGCUUUCAAUGGACCCUCCGUCAUAUGAUGAAGCCAGGUUCCACCCACCUACUCUGAGCACCCACGACCACGCCCUCCACUACCCCCCUCCCCCCUCAUAUGAUGCCUCCCUGCCCUCCCCCUCCACACCCCCUCCCACCUACGGAGAGGCAGUUACCAUCCAGCCAGAUCCUUAUCCUGUCCUGACCGUACCCACAGUGACCCACAGUGUACCAGUGCCUCCACAAAACACUGGAGUCAUAAUCCAUCCAACAACCCAAAUUGGUGUGAAUCGGACUGUAAAUGUCACACGGUCCCAGCCGGUGGUCCUGUCCCAGCCACAGUCCACCAUACACCUGAAGGAUACACCUGGCAUCAUAAACUGCCCCCACUGUCACCGCACCGUCACCACCAAAGUAACAUACGUCCCUGGGAAGUCGGCGUGGUGUCUGUGCAUCCUACUGUCAGUGAUGGGGUUGGUUUGUGGAAUCUGUCUUAUUCCCCUCAUGGUCCGAGGGCUCCAAGACGCACAUCACUCCUGCCCAUACUGUGAAAGUCAGAUACAUGUUUACUCACGGUAAAGUUCAGAGAAAAGAGUCAAAUAGAAAACAGCCAGAAUAGGGCACAUGUUCAGAUUAGCACAAGAAUGGAAAGUCAGAGGACUGGAAGGUUUAUUUAAACAUCUUCUAAUGCAUAUUGACAGACUGUUCAGGAACAGUUGGACAGGCUUUUAUGAGAUGGUUUAUCUCUGCUGUAAAUAUAAAAAAAGUCACUGUUUUACUGAAUGAGCCUCUGUACGCUAUAACACACAGGUGUCAAACAUGCAGCCCGGGGUCCAAAUCUGGCCCACCAAAGGGUUUAGUCCGGCCCUUUGGAUGAAUAUGUGAAAUGCAAAAAUGACGCUUAUUAACAAUCAUUUUAGUUCAGGUUCCACAUUCAGACCAAUAUGAUCUAAAGUGGGUAGGAUCAGUAAAACACUGUUGUAGUAACCAAUAAAUACUCAUUCAUUCAUUCAUUCAUUCAUUCAUUUUCUGAACCUGCUUUAUCCUCACUAGGGUCACAGGGGGUCACUGGAGCCUGUCCCAGCUACUUAUGGGCAACUCCAAAUUUUUCUCUUUGUAAAUGUACUGUACUUUCCAGACUACUGGCCACACCUGACUCCACCCUGUCUCCAACCUCACCAUCGAUUCAUUGAUGCCAAGCUUACAUACAGCAGCUCCAUGUGUUUCUUUGACAGCCAGAUCGAUCAUUAGCCCAGAAAACAUAAAUUAGCCGCAAAAUUUUUGAGCCGCAGGUUCACAGCGUGUGGAAAAAAGUAACAGUUUACAGACCAGAAAUUACGGUAAACAUUUUCAUGUAUUUACACUAAAACAAAGUAUAAUUUCGCAAAAACCGUGAAUAACCUGAAGAAAUAUGAACAACCUGAAAUAUCUUAAGAGAAGUAAGUGCAAUUUUAAUAAUAUUAUGUCUGUAAAUGAUAAACUGAAGCCUAAUAUUGUUAAAACUGCACUUAUUCUUUCAGUUUGUUCAUGUUAUUCACAUCAUUUUAAAGGAUAGUUUGUAGAUAUAAACAUUUUCAUAUUGAAAUUUUACUUUUUUCACUCCAAAACAUAGAAAAAAGUUUGGAGUUGACAUGAUUUAUAUAAUAUUAUGUUAUUAUUUUACUGGUCCGGCCCACUUCAGAUCAAAUUUAGCUAACUGUAGGCCCUGAACUAAAAUGAGUUUGACACCCCCGCUAUCACAGAUCCAAAUACCAGCGUUUUGACUGUAAUCUCUCAUAUGGGUUAGCGUUUGAUGCUAAAACGUUUCGGAGGAUUUGUGAUCAAACUCCAUCUGCGCCAUGAUAAAACUAUAGAUUACACUUGAUUCAGUGGAGGUGGAAGCAUUUCUGAAACAUGAGCCAAAACAGGAUAAAGAACACUUUUUGCACUGUCAUUCGACCAUACGAGGCAAAUGAGGAAGUGGAACCACACAGAUUCAGACAGGAACAACAUGCAACAAGACAAUAAACACAGACAUUUAUGACGAAUAAGGUGAUGACAACCAUACACUCAUGUCUAUUUCUAUAUUUAAAUGCGAAAAGAAUUAAAUUAAUGUUUAUGAGGUCGAGUCAUCCAGACCUUUACAGCAAAGACAAAAGUAGGAUGAUAGAUUGACUGUCUGUGCUGCAAAGAUGCACACACUAUAAUUUACACAUAUUACUUCAAAUAUAAAACCAGAUAUUGCUUUAUAAACUGGUUUGCAAACUUCUUAAUGAGUCAUUUCACUUUCCUCAGAAGCCAGAACAUGACAGCUGUUGAGAAAUAUUCAUCUCUACUUAUAAAUUGAAAGUUUUUACCCUCUAACCCACUGUGAGUGAUGUUUAGAAAACCAGGUGAAGCUGCUGUUGGAUGAUGUGGUGGUGAAUUACUGCUGGAUCUAUGCACUGCACUGACUGAUUACAACCCAUUCUUCACCUGCUGUUGUUGGAUUAAUGUGCAAUGUUUAAUGCAAGGUUUCCCUGCCAUGGUGUUUUCAAGCUUCUGUAAUUAACUGAAAAUUAUGUGUUAUUAUGUAUCAUUCUAUCAUGUUGAUAGAGCAAUAAAAUACCCUUGGUUACUUUAACUGAACAGUGCAUUUUUAUUGAUUUUUACUUUCCAUUCAUCUGCGCUGGCAGGUGGAUGUGAUGUGAAGUCAUUCUGUGCACGCAAACAUUCCUUUAAUAAGUUACAUUUAUAACCUUUAGGACAGUGUUCUUCAACCUCAGGGUGGGGUCACCUGGA